AGCUUAUAUGUUCUAUAGCCUCUCACUCGCAGGCACGCCUGCGAGAAGGUCGUUCCGGCAACAUGUGGUCUGGAGCCAGCUGAAUGAAAUGGGAGGCCCUUGGCAUUUUCGAUACUGAGGUGCACCAAAGGAAUACUGAGGGUGUCGAUCGACAAGCUGUCAGGAUCACUGGGGAGUGCAGGCGGACUGCUGUUGGUGACCCCUUUGGAUGCUAAGUCUGCCUCCAGGUCUGAAAUUCACAAGAUAUAUCUGAGAGCCACUGUGAUAAAGCAUAAGCCUAUUUGUGCCUUUCUUAACUCCCAUAAACCCCUUUGUUUAGUAGUUUAAAAGUUCAGACCGUCGGUUCACCGUCUGGUUUUUAUAUGUAUUCAUUAAUAAAUAAUGCAAUAAGCAUAUACAUAAAUAUACAAAGCGCUGCAAGUGUUUCCAUAUUGUUCCGAGAAGAAAUUGUAUGGGGUACAAGUGGAGUUUGAUAGGGUAGUCAUGUCAAAACAUUAAUCUUGCUAAUCUCUAGACCUGGGAGCAUCUGGUGCAUAUGUAGCUUUGCUCCAGUUUA
This is a long non-coding RNA of Lolium rigidum, 556 nucleotides long. RefSeq lists it as uncharacterized. NCBI's taxonomy places the organism in Eukaryota, Viridiplantae, Streptophyta, Magnoliopsida, Poales, Poaceae. The transcript has 2 exons. The record is from RefSeq and is a predicted model, not a curated record.